RNAcentral lists this ribosomal RNA (1167 nucleotides) under Clastoptera xanthocephala. RNAcentral describes it as "bacterial SSU rRNA". It matches the Rfam family "Eukaryotic small subunit ribosomal RNA", at positions 638 to 1752 of the family's 1831-position model. Lineage: Eukaryota; Metazoa; Arthropoda; Insecta; Hemiptera; Clastopteridae. The record is from RNAcentral.
CCGUCGGUGUUAACUGGCAUGUCCUGUGGAACGUCCUGCCGGUGGCGGUACGGGCUCUCGGUUCCUGUGUAGAGACCAAAAUCUCGAAGCAGACCGAACAGUUCCGGCCGCCGGUUCAUAUCCCGCCACGGUGCUCUUAAACGAGUGUCGAGGUGGGCCGGCACGUUUACUUUGAACAAAUUAGAGUGCUUAAAGCAGGCUGGUGUCCGCCUGAAUACUGUGUGCAUGGAAUAAUGGAAUAGGACCUCGGUUCUAUUUUGUUGGUUUUCGGAACCCGAGGUAAUGAUUAAUAGGGACAGGCGGGGGCAUUCGUAUUGCGGCGUUAGAGGUGAAAUUCUUGGAUCGUCGCAAGACGAACCUAAGCGAAAGCAUUUGCCAAGUAUGUCCUCGUUAAUCAAGAACGAAAGUUAGAGGUUCGAAGGCGAUCAGAUACCGCCCUAGUUCUAACCAUAAACGAUGCCAGCCAGCGAUCCGCCGAAGUUCCUCCGAUGACUCGGCGGGCAGCUUCCGGGAAACCAAAGCUUUUGGGUUCCGGGGGAAGUAUGGUUGCAAAGCUGAAACUUAAAGGAAUUGACGGAAGGGCACCACCAGGAGUGGAGCCUGCGGCUUAAUUUGACUCAACACGGGAAACCUCACCAGGCCCGGACACCGGAAGGAUUGACAGAUUGAGAGCUCUUUCUUGAUUCGGUGGGUGGUGGUGCAUGGCCGUUCUUAGUUGGUGGAGCGAUUUGUCUGGUUAAUUCCGAUAACGAACGAGACUCUAGCCUGCUAACUAGGCGAUUUCCGGUACCCUCUUUAGUGUUACCGGCGAUUCAAUUUCUUCUUAGAGGGACAGGCGGCUCCUAGCCGCACGAGACUGAGCAAUAACAGGUCUGUGAUGCCCUUAGAUGUCCUGGGCAGCACGCGCGCUACACUGAAGGAAUCAGCGUGUCCUCCCUGGCCGACAGGCCCGGGUAACCCGUUGAACCUCCUUCGUGCUAGGGAUUGGGGCUUGCAAUUGUUCCCCAUGAACGAGGAAUUCCCAGUAAGCGCGAGUCAUAAGCUCGCGUUGAUUACGUCCCUGCCCUUUGUACACACCGCCCGUCGCUACUACCGAUUGAAUGAUUUAGUGAGGUCUUCGGACUGGUGCGCGGCGGUCGGUCUCGCCGGCCGCCGAUGUUGCCGGAA